Molecule: non-coding RNA, 89 nt
Filed under: Saccharomonospora sp.
Lineage: Bacteria; Bacillati; Actinomycetota; Actinomycetes; Pseudonocardiales; Pseudonocardiaceae
Also listed under: 1 other name
Description: SAM-I sequence
Rfam family: SAM riboswitch aptamer (S box leader)
About the family: The SAM riboswitch is found upstream of a number of genes which code for proteins involved in methionine or cysteine biosynthesis in Gram-positive bacteria. The SAM riboswitch acts at the level of transcription termination control.
Source: RNAcentral
GUUCCAUCCCGAGCGACCGAGAGACCUGGCUCGUCGACGUCGCAGCAACCCUCCCUCGAGGACGGUGCUAACGCCAGGACCGAUGGAGG